Molecule: unclassified non-coding RNA, 721 nt
Filed under: Limulus polyphemus (Atlantic horseshoe crab)
Lineage: Eukaryota; Metazoa; Arthropoda; Merostomata; Xiphosura; Limulidae
Description: solute carrier family 35 member G1-like, transcript variant X1
Source: RNAcentral
GUUGCCUGCCGCAAGAGAGUGCGUUGCUAGAGAUACCAUGCCGGGAAGGAUAGUCGCACAAUGUGAACGAGACGACACGUUGGUAUGAUGAGUGUGCAGAUAGUUCGCGAGUGAUCAACAAAGGGGUUUGCUGAUUGUUCCUGGACCACUCUGUACAUCACUGCAAUAGGAUUGGCUGGUUUGUUGACUCUUCUAGCUACCACACGAGGAUUUCAACUAGUUGAAGCUGGUCCAGUUCAGUGCACGAUAAGAGUAGUAUGUUCGAGAAUGUGACUGAAGACAUGAGCCAAUCAGUAAACUAUAAGGAAAACACGAAAAAUGACAUGUUUCAAGAAGCAACUGAUUCGUGUGAGCUAUAGUCAUUAAUUGAAAAGGACUAACAACUACCAUAUGAAAAACAUCUAUGAGAAUCAAGUUCUGGAGUUUAAUAACUUAUUUUUAUUUAUUUUCCAAUAUUGAUUAUGAUAUUGUUUCUAUAAAUUGUCGAGGUCAACUUAUGAUCGAGUACAUAUUGCUUUAUUCUCUAUGGUAUUAAAAACCAACACUGUUUUCUAUGUGGAAAACAUAUUCUUUAAACUAGUAUUGUAAAUGGUGUCUCUAGUAAUUGUUGUUAAUGGAGUUAACGUUAGAUACUUUAUGUGUUGUUUACCUUUGAACUUUAGAAAUUUUAAAACAUCAAAUAUUUUAUGUUAUAUUUCUCUGUUAAUCAACGAAAUAUUUU